This 1030-nucleotide long non-coding RNA is filed under the name Anolis carolinensis (green anole). RNAcentral's name for it is "lncRNA (ENSACAG00000038142.1)". Lineage: Eukaryota; Metazoa; Chordata; Lepidosauria; Squamata; Anolidae. The record is from RNAcentral.
AUGGUGUCGAAUGUUUCGGAGGGGGCAAGCAUUUGCAAAGGGCUCCUGGACUACUUGACUGCUUAUGGGCGCUUUAAUCCGCUUUGCAGAACGAGCGGAGAGAGGUCUGGGCGUCCUCGAGUGCUUGGCUGUUUGCAAUGGGGCGCUUUAAUCCGCUUUGCAGAACGAGCGGAGAGAGGUCUGGGCAUCCUCGAGUGCUUGGCUGCUUGCUAUUGGGGGUGCUUUAAACCUAUAUCCCAGGAUCUAGUUUCAGAUUAUCUGAUUUAAACUGGAUUAUAUGAGUUCUCUCUGCAGAUAAUCUGGGAUAAGAAGAAAAGUGAUGGAUCUGGACCAAGCUUGGCACACACCAGCUGUGAAUCCUAGGGGGGGUUUUGGAUGGUUGACCCAAGACUUUUGGGAAUUGUAGUUCAUCCAUACAUUUUCUCAUGGGAACAUUCAUAAAAAAGAGAGAGAGAGAGAGAGAGAGAGACCAUGGUGUAAUUUAGUGCAGGGGUUCAUAGUCCCUCAGACUGUUGAGGGGCCAGACUGUGGUGAAAUAGUCCAAAAUUAGGAUUGUUGUUGUUGUGUGCCUUCAAGUCAUUUCAGACUUAAGUCAACCCUAAGUGUAAAGUUUAGGACAGGGGCCAGGUCAAUGGCAUUGGAGGGCCGCAUCUGGCCAACAGCCCUUAGUUUGGGGACACCUGGUGUAGUGCAUUAUGGUUUCCUGAGUCCACCAAUUUAACAAAGUUUCAGCCACAAAAACAAAGUUUCUGAAGUAGAACAAUGACUUUCAAAGUAAAGACAACCCAAUGAAACAGGAAAUAAGACUUCCAAACCAGGAACAGAUUUCUGCAAUUAUUAUAAAAUGGUUUAUUAUAAAAGCUAUAAAAAUUCACCAAAAAUCAGAGGAUAAGGGAAAUGUUUUGAAUUUUGAAGCUAUCAGUGUUAACUGUGUUCUACCACUGUACCAAGUUUGAAGAAGAUAGCUCAAAAAAUGAGGGCGGGAGAGACCUGUAAAGUCUCCCCCCGUGCUUUUUUUGCCACUGCGCAU